GGACUCUUGAUUAGGCAGUACAUAUACUAAAAUUGAAAUGCUAUGUAGAACAUUAACAUGACCCCUGUAUGAAAAUAGCAGGCACAUUUUUGAAGUGUUCCAUAUUUUU
Molecule: small nuclear RNA, 109 nt
Organism: Mus caroli (Ryukyu mouse)
Lineage: Eukaryota; Metazoa; Chordata; Mammalia; Rodentia; Muridae
Source: RefSeq, a predicted model, not a curated record